GUGGGGAAUCUUCCGCAAUGGACGAAAGUCUGACGGAGCAACGCCGCGUGAGUGAUGAAGGUCUUCGGAUUGUAAAGCUCUGUUAAUCGGGACGAAAGAGCCUAGUGUGAAUAAUGCUAGGAAGUGACGGUACCGGAAUAGAAAGCCACGGCUAACUACGUGCCAGCAGCCGCGGUAAUACGUAGGUGGCAAGCGUUGUCCGGAAUUAUUGGACGUAAAGCGCGCGCAGGCGGAUCUGCCAGUCUGUCUUAAAAGUUCGGGGCUUAACCCCGUGAUGGGAUGGAAACUACAGAUCUAGAGUAUCGGAGAGGAAAGUGGAAUUCCUAGUGUAGCGGUGAAAUGCGUAGAUAUUAGGAAGAACACCAGUGGCGAAGGCGACUUUCUGGACGAAAACUGACGCUGAGGCGCGAAAGCCAGGGGAGCGAACGGGAUUAGAUACCCCUGUAGUCC
This 450-nucleotide ribosomal RNA is filed under the name uncultured bacterium. RNAcentral describes it as "partial 16S ribosomal RNA". It matches the Rfam family "Bacterial small subunit ribosomal RNA", at positions 354 to 796 of the family's 1533-position model. The record is from RNAcentral.